This 298-nucleotide ribosomal RNA is filed under the name uncultured bacterium. RNAcentral's name for it is "partial 16S ribosomal RNA". It matches the Rfam family "Bacterial small subunit ribosomal RNA", at positions 334 to 623 of the family's 1533-position model. The record is from RNAcentral.
UUCUACCUACGGGAGGCAGCAGUGGGGAAUAUUGCGCAAUGGGCGAAAGCCUGACGCAGCGACGCCGCGUGAGGGAUGAAGGUCUUCGGAUCGUAAACCUCUGUCAGCAGGGAAGAACGGUCACUGUGCUAAUCAGCAGUGAAUUGACGGUACCUGCAAAGGAGGCACCGGCUAACUCCGUGCCAGCAGCCGCGGUAAUACGGAGGGUGCGAGCGUUAAUCGGAAUUACUGGGCGUAAAGCGCUCGUAAGCGGUAUGUCAAGUCAAGGGUGAAAUCCCCGCGCGCAACGUGGGAACUG